This 459-nucleotide ribosomal RNA is filed under the name uncultured bacterium. RNAcentral's name for it is "partial 16S ribosomal RNA". It matches the Rfam family "Bacterial small subunit ribosomal RNA", at positions 338 to 795 of the family's 1533-position model. The record is from RNAcentral.
CCUACGGGUGGCUGCAGUGAGGAAUAUUGGUCAAUGGGCGGAAGCCUGAACCAGCCAAGUAGCGUGCGGGAUGAAGGCCCUACGAGUCGUAAACCGCUUUUGCACGGGGAUAACACCCUCCACUUGUGGAGGUCUGCAGGUACCGUGCGAAUAAGGGCCGGCUAAUUCCGUGCCAGCAGCCGCGGUAAUACGGAGGGCCCGAGCGUUAUCCGGAUUCAUUGGGGUUAAAGGGUGCGUAGGCGGUCGUUAAAGUCAGCUGUAAAAUCGCGCGGCUCAACCGCGCACCGCAGUUGAUACUGGACGCCUGGAGUGUACAACAGGCAGGCGGAAUGUGUGGUGUAGCGGUGAAAUGCAUAGAGAUCAUGAGGAACCCCGAUUGCGAAGGCAGCCUGCCGGGGUGCGACUGACGCUGAGGCUCGAAGGCGCGGGUAGCAAACAGGAUUAGAUACCCUAGUAGUC